GACGAACGCUGGCGGCGUGCUUAACACAUGCAAGUCGAACGGAAAGGUCUCUUCGGAGAUACUCGAGUGGCGAACGGGUGAGUAACACGUGGGCAAUCUGCCCUGCACUUCGGGAUAAGCCUGGGAAACUGGGUCUAAUACCGAAUAGGACCACUUGGCGCAUGCCUUGUGGUGGAAAGCUUUUGCGGUGUGGGAUGGGCCCGCGGCCUAUCAGCUUGUUGGUGGGGUGAUGGCCUACCAAGGCGACGACGGGUAGCCGGCCUGAGAGGGUGUCCGGCCACACUGGAGACUGAGAUACUGGCCCAGACUCCUACGGGAGGCAGCAGUGGGGAAUAUUGCACAAUGGGCGCAAGCCUGAUGCAGCGACGCCGCGUGGGGGAUGACGGCCUUCGGGUUGUAAACCUCUUUCACCAUCGACGAAGGUCCGGGUUUUCUCGGAUUGACGGUAGGUGGAGAAGAAGCACCGGCCAACUACGUGCCAGCAGCCGCGGUA
Molecule: ribosomal RNA, 493 nt
Filed under: Mycobacterium sp. N523
Lineage: Bacteria; Bacillati; Actinomycetota; Actinomycetes; Mycobacteriales; Mycobacteriaceae
Description: bacterial SSU rRNA
Rfam family: Bacterial small subunit ribosomal RNA
Source: RNAcentral